Molecule: small nuclear RNA, 18 nt
Filed under: Arabidopsis thaliana (thale cress)
Lineage: Eukaryota; Viridiplantae; Streptophyta; Magnoliopsida; Brassicales; Brassicaceae
Description: snRNA_00052
Source: RNAcentral
UAAGUGGCAGAGUGGCCU